CGAGUCGAGUUGUUUGGGAAUGCAGCUCAAAAUGGGUGGUAAAUUUCAUCUAAAGCUAAAUACUGGCUGGAGACCGAUAGCGCACAAGUAGAGUGAUCGAAAGAUGAAAAGCACUUUGGAAAGAGAGUCAAAAAGUACGUGAAAUUGUUGAAAGGGAAGCGCUUGCAACCAGACCUGUCCGUGGGUGAUCAGCCGCCGUUCUCGGUGGUGCACUCGCCUACGAUCAGGCCAGCACCGGUUCGGGCGGUCGGACAAAGGCCUUGGGAAUGUAGCUCCUCUCGGGGAGUCUUAUAGCCCUGGGUGCAAUGCGGCCAGCCCGGACCGAGGACCGCGCUUCGGCUAGGAUGCUGGCGUAAUGGUUGUAAGCGACCCGUCUUGAAACACGGACCAAGGAGUCUAACAUCUAUGCGAGUGUUUGGGUGUUAAACCCAUACGCGGAAUGAAAGUGAACGGAGGUGAGAACCCUUUAGGGCGCAUCAUCGACCGAUCCAGAUGUCUUCGGAUGGAUUUGAGUAUGAGCAUAGCUGUUGGGACCCGAAAGAUGGUGAACUAUGCCUGAAUAGGGUGAAGCCAGAGGAAACUCUGGUGGAGGCUCGCAGCGGU
This 603-nucleotide ribosomal RNA is filed under the name Protoparmelia aff. badia A GS-2015. RNAcentral's name for it is "eukaryotic LSU rRNA". It matches the Rfam family "Eukaryotic large subunit ribosomal RNA", at positions 261 to 884 of the family's 3401-position model. Lineage: Eukaryota; Fungi; Ascomycota; Lecanoromycetes; Lecanorales; Parmeliaceae. The record is from RNAcentral.